AAUAUGGCAUUGAUUAGGAGAGUAGACUUGUUGAUGUUUUUAGAGAAGGACUGUCACCGGCUGAAAGCAGUCCCAAACUAGAUUACAGGUUGAAGUGCACCUAUAAGUCUAAGGCUGAAAUAUACAUGCAAAAGUAGGUCUUACGGGUAGCUCCGUUAAAGGCUAUUUGAGAGAGAUGUUAUUACGUCUAAUCAGAGUGGAACCGCGGAUAUUCCCCGUCUCUGGA
This 226-nucleotide non-coding RNA is filed under the name Maledivibacter halophilus. RNAcentral describes it as "Clostridium halophilum T-box sequence". It matches the Rfam family "T-box leader". From Rfam's summary of the family: Uncharged tRNA acts as the effector for transcription antitermination of genes in the T-box leader family. The record is from RNAcentral. Lineage: Bacteria; Bacillati; Bacillota; Clostridia; Peptostreptococcales; Caminicellaceae.